UUGAAAGGGAAACGAUUGAAGUCAGUCGUACCAGCGGGAAAUCAACCUUUCGAGUGGGGUUUUGGAGUUUUGAAGUGUGUCAAAACCUUUGAGAUUUCAAAAUGCUCGCUCCUUUGGUGUACUUUCUCGUAGGUAGGUUAACAUCGAUUUCGAUUCAUCAUAAAAGGAUUGGAGGAAUGUAGCUUCGAUCUUGUAUUGAAGUGUUAUAGCCUUUGGUAAAUGUGAUGAUUGGGAUCGAGGAUUGCAACGAAUACCCUUUUGGGCUAUCCGCCUGAUCUCUGACACGUGGCCUUGGCAUCGAAAGCUUGCUUAUGGUAUCAAGGUAUUACGGUCAAAAGGUUAGAACGGAUUACAUUCGUUAAGGAUGUUGACGUAAGUC
Molecule: ribosomal RNA, 379 nt
Filed under: uncultured Glomeromycotina
Lineage: Eukaryota; Fungi; Glomeromycota
Description: LSU rRNA
Source: RNAcentral